CUUACGCUCAAUCGUUGCUUCGGCGGGCUGCGGCCCUGUCCGCUCCCGGCGCCCCCCGUGGCGCGGGGAUGCGCCCGCCGAGGGACCAACCCAAACGCAUGGCAAACGAGUCUGUCCGAGUCGAUUGUGAAUCAGUCAAAACUUUCAACAACGGAUCUCUUGGUUCGGGCAUCGAUGAAGAACGCAGCGAAAUGCGAUAAGUAAUGUGAAUUGCAGAAUUCCGUGAAUCAUCGAAUCUUUGAACGCACAUUGCGCCCGGUGGCAUUCCGCCGGGCACGCCUGUCCGAGCGUCAUUGCAACAAUCAAGCCUGGCUUGGUGUUGGGGGCCCGUCGCGCCUGGCGCGACCCCCCCGGAACCCGUUGGCGGUGGCUCUCUGCCCCGAUCGUCGCGCAUGUUACGACGGGACGGAGGGCCGCCCGCCGAACCCCCCACGACGCGAAGUUUGACCUCGGAUCAGGCGGGGAUACCCGCUGAACUUAAGCAUAUCAA
Molecule: ribosomal RNA, 490 nt
Filed under: fungal sp.
Lineage: Eukaryota; Fungi
Description: eukaryotic LSU rRNA
Rfam family: 5.8S ribosomal RNA (bases 140-293)
Source: RNAcentral